Long non-coding RNA from Xenopus laevis (African clawed frog), 487 nucleotides. RefSeq lists it as uncharacterized. Lineage: Eukaryota; Metazoa; Chordata; Amphibia; Anura; Pipidae. The record is from RefSeq and is a predicted model, not a curated record. The transcript has 4 exons.
GGUGGGCUGGCCCUUUUUGCCGGAAACAGAAUAGAGGAGGAGCGUUAUCUUGCAGCUCAAAUGACAGGAGCCACUAAGGAGCAUUGAUAGCGGAUACUGGAGAACCUUCGAAAGUGAAGCUUCAUAGCAGGGUCCCUUCUAACUGUAGCACCAAACGCCCUGAUGGCUUCUCUGCAGAGCUGCUGCUGAACAAAGCUUGGCUAGGAAAGACUGGUUCAUUCAAGAAGAAAAGGACAAAGCCCCAGACAGGCCCUGGGUGUGAAUCUCCAGACUUCUGUGAAUCUCCGGACUUCUCCUGAUUCAUGGCUGCUCUUGGAAAGGACGAGCCUUUGGACCUCCUACAUAAUCUGACACCCACAGCAAAGUUUCGGCAAAACGUUUCAGUUUUACGCAACAUAUGCAACAAACACAUGAAAGGAAACUACAAAUGUUAUCUGUAAUCAAGAAUGCCUUAUUUUUGUCCAUAAAUAAAAUAAUUAUUUUCAAA